GGAGGGAUGCUCGAGCGGCCGAAGAGGACGGCUUGCUAAGCCGUUGCCGGGGCUAAAACCUCGGCCGCGGGUUCGAAUCCCGCUCCCUCCG
This 91-nucleotide transfer RNA is filed under the name Candidatus Bipolaricaulota bacterium. RNAcentral's name for it is "tRNA-Ser". It matches the Rfam family "tRNA". Rfam says of the family: Transfer RNA (tRNA) molecules are approximately 80 nucleotides in length. Lineage: Bacteria; Candidatus Bipolaricaulota. The record is from RNAcentral.